UAUGUCACAGAGGAGAAAGGAAGGACCUUCUAAACAUGUUUAACCUGAUCUCCGUGCUCUGUUUGCUUCAUCUGCCAGUGAAUAAUGGUGUUUCUAACUCCCCUAAAGUCUUCCAAACACCGCCUAGCAUAUUUAAAAAAGCUGGUGAAUCUAUAGUCAGUGAGAUUCACUGCUCACACAGCAUAACACACUUUGAUCGGACUCUCUGGUACCAACAGGACGAACACGGAGGCCUGAUGUUCUUGGGGUAUCUGAAUAUGAAGUUUCCAUUUUCAGAUGACAAGGUGAAGGAAAGGAUCAGCUUUACCGGCGACGGCAGCAACAAUUCAAGCCUGACUGUUUCCAACGUCACUCGAGACGACGGCGGUGCUGUGUAUUUCUGUGCCGCCAUUCGACACAGUGCUGCAGACUCUCCUGGAGUCAGUACAAAAAGUGCCUUUGAUCUGUCUGCAGAGAGAUAA
Molecule: non-coding RNA, 461 nt
Organism: Mugil cephalus (flathead mullet)
Lineage: Eukaryota; Metazoa; Chordata; Actinopteri; Mugiliformes; Mugilidae
Source: the annotation of a RefSeq genome assembly